Molecule: ribosomal RNA, 273 nt
Filed under: uncultured bacterium
Lineage: Bacteria
Description: partial 16S ribosomal RNA
Rfam family: Bacterial small subunit ribosomal RNA
Source: RNAcentral
UACGAAGGGGGCUAGCGUUGUUCGGAAUUACUGGGCGUAAAGCGCACGUAGGCGGAGAUUUAAGUCAGGGGUGAAAUCCCGCAGCUCAACUGCGGAACUGCCGUUGAUACUGUGUAUCUCGAGUAUGGAAGAGGUGAGUGGAAGUCCGAGUGUAGAGGUGACAUUCGUAGCUAUUCGGAGGAACAACAGGGGCGAAGGCGGCUCACUGGUCCAUUACUGACGCUGAGGUGCGAAAGCGUGGGGAGCAAACAGGAUUAGAUACCCGUGGAGUCC